RNAcentral lists this transfer RNA (73 nucleotides) under Ribes nigrum. Its description in RNAcentral is "tRNA-Gln". It matches the Rfam family "tRNA". From Rfam's summary of the family: Transfer RNA (tRNA) molecules are approximately 80 nucleotides in length. Their secondary structure includes four short double-helical elements and three loops (D, anti-codon, and T loops). Further hydrogen bonds mediate the characteristic L-shaped molecular structure. tRNAs have two regions of fundamental functional importance: the anti-codon, which is responsible for specific mRNA codon recognition, and the 3' end, to which the tRNAs corresponding amino acid is attached (by aminoacyl-tRNA synthetases). tRNAs cope with the degeneracy of the genetic code in two manners: having more than one tRNA (with a specific anti-codon) for a particular amino acid; and 'wobble' base-pairing, i.e. permitting non-standard base-pairing at the 3rd anti-codon position. The record is from RNAcentral. Lineage: Eukaryota; Viridiplantae; Streptophyta; Magnoliopsida; Saxifragales; Grossulariaceae.
GUCACGAUCAGAAUAAAAGGUAGUUCGCUGGGUUUUGAUCCCAGGGGUGCUGGUUCGAGUCCAGCUCGUGACA